RNAcentral lists this ribosomal RNA (467 nucleotides) under uncultured bacterium. RNAcentral describes it as "partial 16S ribosomal RNA". It matches the Rfam family "Bacterial small subunit ribosomal RNA", at positions 28 to 507 of the family's 1533-position model. The record is from RNAcentral.
GAUGAACGCUGACAGAAUGCUUAACACAUGCAAGUCAACUUGAAUUUGGGUUUUUAACUUCGGUUUGGGUGGCGGACGGGUGAGUAACGCGUAAAGAACUUGCCUCACAGCUAGGGACAACAUUUGGAAACGAAUGCUAAUACCUAAUAUUAUGAUAAUAGGGCAUCCUAUAAUUAUGAAAGCUAUAAGCGCUGUGAGAGAGCUUUGCGUCCCAUUAGCUAGUUGGAGAGGUAACGGCUCACCAAGGCGAUGAUGGGUAGCCGGCCUGAGAGGGUGAUCGGCCACAAGGGGACUGAGACACGGCCCUUACUCCUACGGGAGGCAGCAGUGGGGAAUAUUGGACAAUGGACCAAGAGUCUGAUCCAGCAAUUCUGUGUGCACGAUGAAGUUUUUCGGAAUGUAAAGUGCUUUCAGUUGGGAAGAAACAAAUGACGGUACCAACAGAAGAAGUGACGGCUAAAUACGUG